UACGAACGCUGGCGGCAUGCCUAACACAUGCAAGUCGAACGAGACCUUCGGGUCUAGUGGCGCACGGGUGCGUAACGCGUGGGAAUCUGCCCUCUGGUACGGAAUAACAGUUAGAAAUGACUGCUAAUACCGUAUAAUGACUUCGGUCCAAAGAUUUAUCGCCUGAGGAUGAGCCCGCGUCGGAUUAGCUAGUUGGUAAGGUAAAGGCUUACCAAGGCGACGAUCCGUAGCUGGUCUGAGAGGAUGAUCAGCCACACUGGGACUGAGACACGGCCCAGACUCCUACGGGAGGCAGCAGUGGGGAAUAUUGGACAAUGGGCGAAAGCCUGAUCCAGCAAUGCCGCGUGAGUGAUGAAGGCCUUAGGGUUGUAAAGCUCUUUUACCCGGGAUGAUAAUGACAGUACCGGGAGAAUAAGCCCCGGCUAACUCCGUGCCAGCAGCCGCGGUAA
This 449-nucleotide ribosomal RNA is filed under the name uncultured bacterium. RNAcentral describes it as "partial 16S ribosomal RNA". It matches the Rfam family "Bacterial small subunit ribosomal RNA", at positions 29 to 523 of the family's 1533-position model. The record is from RNAcentral.